GAGGUUGGCUUAGAAGCAGCCAUCCUUUAAAGAAAGCGUAAUAGCUCACUGAUCUAAAUAAGACGUCUUGCGCCGAAGAUGUAACGGGGCUAAAGCCAUAUACCGAAGUUGCGGAUUUACACGUUAAAGUGUAAGUGGUAGCGGAGCGUUCUGUAAGCCUGCGAAGGUGUACCGUAAGGUAUGCUGGAGGUAUCAGAAGUGAGAAUGCUGACAUGAGUAGCGAAAAGAAGAGUGAGAGACUCUUCCGCUGAAAGUCCAAGGUUUCCUGCGUAAAGCUAAUCUGCGCAGGGUUAGUCGGUCCCUAAGGCGAGGCAGAGAUGCGUAGUCGAUGGCAAUCAGGUUAAUAUUCCUGAACCGGCCCGGAAGUGACGGAUUGAGUAAAUUGUAAGUUCUUAUUGGAUUGAGCUUGCAGUGAAUCAGUCCCAGGAAAUAGCCCGGGCUAAGACCGUACCCGAAACCGACACAGGUGGACAGGUAGAGAAUACCAAAGCGCUUGAGAGAACUAUGUUGAAGGAACUAGGCAAAAUACUUGCGUAACUUCGGGAUAAGCAAGCCCCAUUUUAAGGCAACUUAGGGUGGGGGGCACAUACUAGGGGGUAGCGACUGUUUACUAAAAACACAGGGCUCUGCUAAAUUGAAAGAUGAAGUAUAGGGUCUGACGCCUGCCCGGUGCUGGAAGGUUAAGGAGAGAUGUGCAAGCAUUGAACUGAAGCCCCAGUAAACGGCGGCCGUAACUAUAACGGUCCUAAGGUAGCGAAAUUCCUUGUCGGGUAAGUUCCGACCUGCACGAAUGGCGUAACGACUUCCCCGCUGUCUCCAACAUAGGCUCAGCGAAAUUGAACUCUGAGUUAAGAUGCUCAGUACCCGCGGUUAGACGGAAAGACCCCGUGAACCUUUACUAUAGCUUUGCAGUGGUAUUAGGUAACAAAUGUGUAGAAUAGGUGGGAUGCUAUGAAGCUACGACGCCAGUUGUAGUGGAGCAGACUUUGAAAUACCACCCUUUUGUUGUUUGAUAUCUAACCUGCUCCCGUUAUCCGGGAGAGGGACCCUGCAUGGUGGGUAGUUUGACUGGGGCGGUCGCCUCCCAAAGAGUAACGGAGGCGCGCAAAGGUUGGCUCAGAUUGGUCAGAAAUCAAUCGUCGAGUGCAAUGGCAUAAGCCAGCCUGACUGCGAGAGAGACAUUUCGAGCAGAUACGAAAGUAGGUCAUAGUGAUCCGGUGGUCCCGAGUGGAAGGGCCAUCGCUCAACGGAUAAAAGGUACUCCGGGGAUAACAGGCUGAUUCCGCCCAAGAGUUCACAUCGACGGCGGA
RNAcentral lists this ribosomal RNA (1310 nucleotides) under human gut metagenome. Its description in RNAcentral is "bacterial LSU rRNA". It matches the Rfam family "Bacterial large subunit ribosomal RNA", at positions 1097 to 2515 of the family's 2925-position model. The record is from RNAcentral.